CGGCGGACGGGUGAGUAAUGCCUGGGAAUAUGCCUUAGUGUGGGGGAUAACUAUUGGAAACGAUAGCUAAUACCGCAUAAUGCCUACGGGCCAAAGAGGGGGACCUUCGGGCCUCUCGCGCUAAGAUUAGCCCAGGUGGGAUUAGCUAGUUGGUGGGGUAAAGGCUCACCAAGGCGACGAUCCCUAGCUGGUCUGAGAGGAUGAUCAGCCACACUGGAACUGAGACACGGUCCAG
Molecule: ribosomal RNA, 235 nt
Filed under: uncultured bacterium
Lineage: Bacteria
Description: partial 16S ribosomal RNA
Rfam family: Bacterial small subunit ribosomal RNA
Source: RNAcentral